UAAUACGGGGGGGGCGAGCGUUGUUCGGAUUUACUGGGCGUAAAGGGCUUGUAGGCGGUGGUCUAUGUCGGUUGUGAAAUCCCCAGGCUCAACCUGGGAACUGCAGCCGAAACUGGGUCACUAGAAGCCGGGAGAGGGAUGCGGAAUUCCAGGUGUAGCGGUGAAAUGCGUAGAUAUCUGGAGGAACACCCGUGGCGAAGGCGGCAUCCUGGACCGGUCUUGACGCUGAGGAGCGAAAGCUAGGGUAGCAAACGGGAUUAGAUACCCCGGUAGUCCUAGCCCUAAACGAUGAAUGCUUGGUGUGGCGGGUAUCGAUCCCUGCCGUGCCGGAGUUAACGCGUUAAGCAUUCCGCCUGGGGAGUACGGUCGCAAGGCUG
This 377-nucleotide ribosomal RNA is filed under the name uncultured Acidobacteriota bacterium. RNAcentral's name for it is "bacterial SSU rRNA". It matches the Rfam family "Bacterial small subunit ribosomal RNA", at positions 521 to 896 of the family's 1533-position model. Lineage: Bacteria; Pseudomonadati; Acidobacteriota. The record is from RNAcentral.